RNAcentral lists this long non-coding RNA (197 nucleotides) under Cavia porcellus (domestic guinea pig). RNAcentral's name for it is "lncRNA (ENSCPOG00000034270.1)". The record is from RNAcentral. Lineage: Eukaryota; Metazoa; Chordata; Mammalia; Rodentia; Caviidae.
CUCCUCCCUUGGGCGGGCAUGGUGUGCCUACCAUGCUGUCCCGGUUGCUGCUCAACUUCAGGUACUGGCAGGAUAAACCAAGAAGCAUGCAUUUCAAGUGCCCCUGCAGUUUUUGCAUGUCCUACCAAUGGGAUCCUUCUGACAACUCUAGACUAAGGGGGUGAGUAGAACACAGGGUUAGUGUAGGCAUGAGUCAG